This 787-nucleotide ribosomal RNA is filed under the name Bacillus amyloliquefaciens. RNAcentral describes it as "bacterial SSU rRNA". It matches the Rfam family "Bacterial small subunit ribosomal RNA", at positions 63 to 831 of the family's 1533-position model. Lineage: Bacteria; Bacillati; Bacillota; Bacilli; Caryophanales; Bacillaceae. The record is from RNAcentral.
CGAGCGGACAGAUGGGAGCUUGCUCCCUGAUGUUAGCGGCGGACGGGUGAGUAACACGUGGGUAACCUGCCUGUAAGACUGGGAUAACUCCGGGAAACCGGGGCUAAUACCGGAUGCUUGUUUGAACCGCAUGGUUCAGACAUAAAAGGUGGCUUCGGCUACCACUUACAGAUGGACCCGCGGCGCAUUAGCUAGUUGGUGAGGUAACGGCUCACCAAGGCGACGAUGCGUAGCCGACCUGAGAGGGUGAUCGGCCACACUGGGACUGAGACACGGCCCAGACUCCUACGGGAGGCAGCAGUAGGGAAUCUUCCGCAAUGGACGAAAGUCUGACGGAGCAACGCCGCGUGAGUGAUGAAGGUUUUCGGAUCGUAAAGCUCUGUUGUUAGGGAAGAACAAGUGCCGUUCAAAUAGGGCGGCACCUUGACGGUACCUAACCAGAAAGCCACGGCUAACUACGUGCCAGCAGCCGCGGUAAUACGUAUGUGGCAAGCGUUGUCCGGAAUUAUUGGGCGUAAAGGGCUCGCAGGCGGUUUCUUAAGUCUGAUGUGAAAGCCCCCCGGCUCAACCGGGGAGGGUCAUUGGAAACUGGGGAACUUGAGUGCAGAAGAGGAGAGUGGAAUUCCACGUGUAGCGGUGAAAUGCGUAGAGAUGUGGAGGAACACCAGUGGCGAAGGCGACUCUCUGGUCUGUAACUGACGCUGAGGAGCGAAAGCGUGGGGAGCGAACAGGAUUAGAAUACGCUGUAGUCCACGCCGUAAACGAUGAGUGCUAAGUGUUAGGGGGG